UGCGACUCACACAGUGACAGCAAAUGCAUAGCCUCUUUGGGAUUACUCAGGAACCAGGACUUUUCACACAAGUGUGAGAGAUUCUACCAAGGCGUUCUGUAACCUAGCAGCAUCUCACAAAGCUCCAAUCCGAUUCCAGAAAAGACCUCUUGCUCUGUCCAGGUAGAACCUA
Erinaceus europaeus (western European hedgehog) is the source of this 172-nucleotide non-coding RNA. Lineage: Eukaryota; Metazoa; Chordata; Mammalia; Eulipotyphla; Erinaceidae. The record is from Rfam.